This 468-nucleotide ribosomal RNA is filed under the name uncultured bacterium. RNAcentral's name for it is "partial 16S ribosomal RNA". It matches the Rfam family "Bacterial small subunit ribosomal RNA", at positions 28 to 507 of the family's 1533-position model. The record is from RNAcentral.
GACGAACGCUGGCGGCGUGCUUAACACAUGCAAGUCGAGCGGAAAGGCGCGGCUUUUGUGGGGUGCUCGAUUGGCGAACGGGUGAGUAACACGUGAGUAACAUGCCCUUGACUGUCGGAUAACUUCAGGAAACAGGGGCUAAUACCGGAUAGGAGAUCCUGAUCCAUAGCGUGGGUUGGAAAGUUUCGGCUGUUGUGGCUGGUCUAGCGGCUUAUGCGCUUGUUGGUGGAGUAGUGGAGUGCCAAGUUUUUGAAGGGUAGGCGGCCUGAGAGGGUGACCGGCCACAUUGGGACUGAGAUACGGACCAGAAGCGUAUGGGCGGCAGUAGGCGGGAACAUUGCACAACGAGCGGACGCGUGAGGUAGAGACGCCGCGUUCGGGAUGACGGCCUUCUGGUUGUAAACAGCUUUCGACUGUGACGAAGCGGGAGUGACGGUAAUGGGUAAAGAAGCACCGGCUAACUACGUG